UUUCCGUAGGUGAACCUGCGGAAGGACCAUUAAUGAAUUUUAGGACGUUCUUUUUAGAAGUCCGACCCUUUCAUUUUCUUACACUGUGCACACACUUCUUUUUUACACACACUUUUAACACCUUAGUAUAAGAAUGUAAUAGUCUCUUAAUUGAGCAUAAAUAAAAACAAAACUUUCAGCAACGGAUCUCUUGGCUCUCGCAUCGAUGAAGAACGCAGC
Molecule: unclassified non-coding RNA, 219 nt
Filed under: uncultured fungus
Lineage: Eukaryota; Fungi
Description: sequence contains ITS1, 5.8S rRNA gene
Rfam family: 5.8S ribosomal RNA (bases 171-219)
Source: RNAcentral